RNAcentral lists this long non-coding RNA (580 nucleotides) under Rattus norvegicus (Norway rat). RNAcentral's name for it is "long non-coding RNA NONRATT003667". Lineage: Eukaryota; Metazoa; Chordata; Mammalia; Rodentia; Muridae. The record is from RNAcentral.
GUUUUUUUCUUUUUUUCUUUUUUCCUCUGUCCCUCCCUCCCUUUGUUCAUUGGCAGAGUUUCAUGUAGUCAAGGCUGGCUUCUAACGUAUUAUGUAUCCAAGGCUGGCUUUGAACUCCUGAUCCUCCGGCUUCUACUUUGCAAGUGCUUGGGUUGUAGGUGUGUGUCAUCAUGCCUGCCUUUAGUGUUCUUUUUAAAACGGAAGCAAUGGCUGCUGUCAGUGAUGCCUGGGUUUGUGGAAAUACAAACUCAUCUUCAUACUGUGGAGAAUGUUACCAUGACUUAUGUUCUUCUACUGAUUUGUGAUACAAAAGGUGACAGAAAGGGGGAGGGGAAGGAAAGUCUGAGGUGAUGGACAGUUGGCUCCGUGGGUAGGCUUGUUUGUUGUGAAAGCAGGAGGAGCUAGUUUAAAUCUUCACAUGGGCCAGGAAGAUCUCUGAAAAUUCACUUGCCAGCCAACCUACCUGAAACUGAAGCCCCUGACCACUCCAUGCAUGUGCACACACAAGCACUUGUACACAUACACAUGUGUGUACAACACAGCCCACAAAAUAAAUUUUAAAAAGACUCUGAAUACAAAA